RNAcentral lists this ribosomal RNA (253 nucleotides) under uncultured bacterium. RNAcentral describes it as "partial 16S ribosomal RNA". It matches the Rfam family "Bacterial small subunit ribosomal RNA", at positions 524 to 776 of the family's 1533-position model. The record is from RNAcentral.
UACGUAGGGUGCAAGCGUUGUCCGGAAUUAUUGGGCGUAAAGAGCUUGUAGGCGGUUUGUCGCGUCUGCUGUGAAAUUUCGGGGCUCAACCCCGAACUUGCAGUGGGUACGGGCAGACUAGAGUGUGGUAGGGGAGACUGGAAUUCCUGGUGUAGCGGUGAAAUGCGCAGAUAUCAGGAGGAACACCCGUAGCGAAGGCGGCACUCUGGGCCGAUACUGACACUGAGGAGCGAAAGCGUGGGGAGCGAACAGG